This 261-nucleotide ribosomal RNA is filed under the name Cypionkella sp. Its description in RNAcentral is "partial 23S ribosomal RNA". It matches the Rfam family "Bacterial large subunit ribosomal RNA", at positions 1 to 221 of the family's 2925-position model. The record is from RNAcentral. Lineage: Bacteria; Pseudomonadati; Pseudomonadota; Alphaproteobacteria; Rhodobacterales; Paracoccaceae.
AAUCAAGCGCGAAAAGGGCGUUUGGUGGAUGCCUUGGCAGUAAGAGGCGAUGAAGGACGUGAUACCCUGCGUUAAGCUUUGGGGAGCCGGGAAUAGGCUUUGAUCCAGAGAUGUCCGAAUGGGGAAACCCACCUGAUAUUCUGUUAUUUUUAUCCCUCGGGAUAAUGAAUAAUGGGGUAAGCCAGGUACUUUUACCCUGAAUACAUAGGGGUUUAAGAGCAAACCCGGGGAACUGAAACAUCUAAGUACCCGGAGGAAAGG